This 440-nucleotide ribosomal RNA is filed under the name uncultured bacterium. RNAcentral's name for it is "partial 16S ribosomal RNA". It matches the Rfam family "Bacterial small subunit ribosomal RNA", at positions 338 to 795 of the family's 1533-position model. The record is from RNAcentral.
CCUACGGGUGGCAGCAGUGGGGAAUAUUGCACAAUGGAGGGAACUCUGAUGCAGCGACGCCGCGUGAGUGAAGAAGUAUUUCGGUAUGUAAAGCUCUAUCAGCAGGGAAGAACAUAACGGUAUCUGCCUAAAAUGCCCCGCCUAAAUACGUGCCAGCAGCCGCGGUAGUACGUAGGGGGCAAGCGUUUGCCGGAUGUACAUGGUGUAAAGGGAGCGUAGACGGAUAUGCAAGUCUGACGUGAAAGCCCAGGGCUCAACCAUGGGACUGUUUUGGAAACUGUAAAACUGGAGUGCAGGAGAGGUAAGCGGAAUUUCUAGUGUAGCGGUGAAAUGCGUAGAUAGUAGGAGGAACACCAGUGGCGAAGGCGGCUUACUGGACUGUAAAUGACGGUGAGGCUCGAAGGCGUGGGGAGCAAACAGGAUUAGAUACCCUAGUAGUC